RNAcentral lists this ribosomal RNA (1434 nucleotides) under uncultured bacterium. RNAcentral describes it as "bacterial SSU rRNA". It matches the Rfam family "Bacterial small subunit ribosomal RNA". The record is from RNAcentral.
AGAGUUUGAUCCUGGCUCAGGAUGAACGCCGGCGGUGUGCCUAAUACAUGCAAGUCGUACGCACUGGCCCAACUGAUUGAUGGUGCUUGCACCUGAUUGACGAUGGAUCACCAGUGAGUGGCGGACGGGUGAGUAACACGUAGGUAACCUGCCUCGGAGCGGGGGAUAACAUUUGGAAACAGAUGCUAAUACCGCAUAACAACAAAAGCCACAUGGCUUUUGUUUGAAAGAUGGCUUUGGCUAUCACUCUGGGAUGGACCUGCGGUGCAUUAGCUAGUUGGUAAGGUAACGGCUUACCAAGGCAAUGAUGCAUAGCCGAGUUGAGAGACUGAUCGGCCACAAUGGAACUGAGACACGGUCCAUACUCCUACGGGAGGCAGCAGUAGGGAAUCUUCCACAAUGGGCGCAAGCCUGAUGGAGCAACACCGCGUGAGUGAAGAAGGGUUUCGGCUCGUAAAGCUCUGUUGUUGGAGAAGAACGUGCGUGAGAGUAACUGUUCACGCAGUGACGGUAUCCAACCAGAAAGUCACGGCUAACUACGUGCCAGCAGCCGCGGUAAUACGUAGGUGGCAAGCGUUAUCCGGAUUUAUUGGGCGUAAAGCGAGCGCAGGCGGUUGCUUAGGUCUGAUGUGAAAGCCUUCGGCUUAACCGAAGAAGUGCAUCGGAAACCGGGCGACUUGAGUGCAGAAGAGGACAGUGGAACUCCAUGUGUAGCGGUGGAAUGCGUAGAUAUAUGGAAGAACACCAGUGGCGAAGGCGGCUGUCUGGUCUGCAACUGACGCUGAGGCUCGAAAGCAUGGGUAGCGAACAGGAUUAGAUACCCUGGUAGUCCAUGUCGUAAACGAUGAGUGCUAGGUGUUGGAGGGUUUCCGCCCUUCAGUGCCGGAGCUAACGCAUUAAGCACUUCGCCUGGGGAGUACGACCGCAAGGUUGAAACUCAAAGGAAUUGACGGGGGCCCGCACAAGCGGUGGAGCAUGUGGUUUAAUUCGAAGCUACGCGAAGAACCUUACCAGGUCUUGACAUCUUGCGCUAACCUUAGAGAUAAGGCGUUCCCUUCGGGGACGCAAUGACAGGUGGUGCAUGGUCGUCGUCAGCUCGUGUCGUGAGAUGUUGGGUUAAGUCCCGCAACGAGCGCAACCCUUGUUACUAGUUGCCAGCAUUAAGUUGGGCACUCUAGUGAGACUGCCGGUGACAAACCGGAGGAAGGUGGGGACGACGUCAGAUCAUCAUGCCCCUUAUGACCUGGGCUACACACGUGCUACAAUGGACGGUACAACGAGUCGCAAGCUCGCGAGAGUAAGCUAAUCUCUUAAAGCCGUUCUCAGUUCGGACUGUAGGCUGCAACUCGCCUACACGAAGUCGGAAUCGCUAGUAAUCGCGGAUCAGCAUGCCGCGGUGAAUACGUUCCCGGGCCUUGCACUCACCGCCCGUCA